UCCCAUAUGGUCUAGUGGUUAGGAUUCGGCGCUUUCACCGCCAAGGCCCGGGUUCAAUUCCCGGUGGGAGAA
RNAcentral lists this transfer RNA (72 nucleotides) under Saccoglossus kowalevskii. RNAcentral describes it as "tRNA-Glu". It matches the Rfam family "tRNA". Rfam says of the family: Transfer RNA (tRNA) molecules are approximately 80 nucleotides in length. Their secondary structure includes four short double-helical elements and three loops (D, anti-codon, and T loops). The record is from RNAcentral. Lineage: Eukaryota; Metazoa; Hemichordata; Enteropneusta; Harrimaniidae.